AGUAGGACUCCGUCUCCAAGGAAGUGUCCGGCUCGAAGGAGUCCUCCAAGGGAGUGUCCGGCUCUACGUACGUAUCUGGCUCUAAAUAAGUCCAACUCAAGACUUUGAGCUCUUUUAUCAAUGGCGAAGCUGAUCCAAUUAUCAACAUCCGAGUUAGAGUUCACAUCAGAAUGAAUUCAUAAACCCUUUAUAGUUGGAGCUCGAAGUGAUUGCAGAAUUCCGUUUACCCAAGUCCUAAAGUCAAGCCUUUCAGCAUCAUUCUCUCCUCCCAAAAUAGAAGGAGACAUCACAUUUACUUUAGCGGAAGCAUCAAAGUCCAGAAAGCCUCUAAAAUGCGUCCAAGAAAGUCUCCAUUUGCUUGAAAGGAUGCUGGUACGCACCGCUUCCUCCAAGGUCAAGCGAGAUAGAAUAUCUGCCAUGACUUCUUUUGGCAAUGAAGUGAUACGAUCGACCUUGGCAUCGGUUUCUUCUAUUUCAGGUUCAGGGUUACCCUGCAAGCAAAAGGGAAGGAACACAAUCUUUCUCAGGUUUCAUACUUGACAUUGCCAUGGCUAUGUACUCGUCAAAUUCGGACCAGGUAAGAUCAAUUUCAAACUUCAAGUGUUGAAUUUCAUAUUCACGAAUUUAAAACCAAAAGAUGUGAAAUUCGAAAAAAUUAAAAUCCAAAAAUACAAAUUUAAAUAUAAUGAUAAAUAAUUGGGAUUGGGAACACAAUACAUGCAAGCAAAUAAUCAGGUAAGACUAAGACUAACAAAUAGCAUUACAGCAUUAAUUAAGACCAAAAAGAAUAAAGUUGAUAUACAUAUACAGCAUACCGUUGUACUUAGGAUUGCCUUCCUCUUUUCCAUCUUGUUCAAACCAACAAUUUUAGGAAAAGAAAGCUGCCCUGAUCAUACACAGAUAGAACCUUCGGCCACAACCUCCUCAAUUUUCGCCUAUAAAUAUAAAGGAAUAAUCAACUUAUUGAUAUUCAAAGCAUAAUUAACAGCAAAAUCAUGCAAAAAGCGCUUACGAAGAAACUAUAUCUUUUUUUCUAAGUCUUUUUUUUCUACCAAUGCCAUACUAUAAGGAUGAAAUGUAUGUACCUUUCAAAUCAUUAAAACCCGAACAAAAAAAAAUUUCUAGCACAUAGCAGGAUUUCACAAUUCUAGAGCAGGAUUUCCCACUUCUUUGAAUUAAAAGUAAGGUGUCAGAAAAAGUUAUUCAAAUCAUGGAAAAUCAGAUAGAUUGUGCAUACCCUUAGGUAGUGAUUUGUAGCAUUAACCAUAGCAAUAUCUGUUUCCCAUAACAUAAGAAUUUUUAGUAACCCAAAUUCUUAAUGAACCUCUAAAGAACAAAUCAACUGAAAAUCUUGAUGUAUUAAUCUUGUUUCUAUUUUUUUUUUCUUUCAGGUGCAUUUUUCAAAUUCGUGUUCCACAUACUGUGCAGUAGCUAUUGUUAUCAUCUUCAAGUUGGUACCUGAGACAAAGGGCCAUGCCUUGAAAGAGAUUCAGGCUUUUAUAGAACAAAGAAUAGGAAAACCUGAUGAUGCUUGCAUGCUACAGGAAUAUGCAGAAUGUUUGUCUUGGUUUUAUGUCUAGAAUUGCAUU
RNAcentral lists this long non-coding RNA (1589 nucleotides) under Theobroma cacao (cacao). RNAcentral's name for it is "long non-coding RNA (TCAC_LNC001492)". The record is from RNAcentral. Lineage: Eukaryota; Viridiplantae; Streptophyta; Magnoliopsida; Malvales; Malvaceae.